This 104-nucleotide ribosomal RNA is filed under the name Heterosigma akashiwo. RNAcentral's name for it is "partial Eukaryotic large subunit ribosomal RNA". It matches the Rfam family "Eukaryotic large subunit ribosomal RNA", at positions 2379 to 2481 of the family's 3401-position model. Lineage: Eukaryota; Raphidophyceae; Chattonellales; Chattonellaceae. The record is from RNAcentral.
ACGGGCUUGGAAUAAUCAGCGAGGAAAGAAGACCCUGUUGAGAUUGACUCUAGUCCGACGUUGUGAAAUGACUUAUGAGGUGUAUAGAAUAUAUGGGAGCUUCG